Long non-coding RNA from Lagenorhynchus albirostris (white-beaked dolphin), 291 nucleotides. RefSeq lists it as uncharacterized. The transcript has 3 exons. Lineage: Eukaryota; Metazoa; Chordata; Mammalia; Artiodactyla; Delphinidae. The record is from RefSeq and is a predicted model, not a curated record.
AACCGACUUCUAUCAGCGUGGCCGCCUGUGUCCUGUAGUUAAACAUAAAAUAGGAAAGAAAGCCACUGUUGAUAACACAAGAGUGUAGGAGAAUGAAGAAGGCUGUGAGAAGCUGUAAUACACUGAAUUUCUGGACAAAUCCCAGGUGGGAAAGCUUAAUCUUUGAAGGACACACACCGGAUACUGGUCUGCAGCCCGGGGGUUGGGGACCCCUGCUCUAAGGCACCAGGUACCAGGCACGUUGCAGGGAAAAUGGUGCAGCAAAAGGCCACGGAGUCAAACAAUUGCCAC